This 1395-nucleotide ribosomal RNA is filed under the name Helicobacter pylori SA227C. Its description in RNAcentral is "bacterial SSU rRNA". It matches the Rfam family "Bacterial small subunit ribosomal RNA". The record is from RNAcentral. Lineage: Bacteria; Pseudomonadati; Campylobacterota; Epsilonproteobacteria; Campylobacterales; Helicobacteraceae.
AUUAGUGGCGCACGGGUGAGUAACGCAUAGGUCAUGUGCCUCUUAGUUUGGGAUAGCCAUUGGAAACGAUGAUUAAUACCAGAUACUCCCUACGGGGGAAAGAUUUAUCGCUAAGAGAUCAGCCUAUGUCCUAUCAGCUUGUUGGUAAGGUAAUGGCUUACCAAGGCUAUGACGGGUAUCCGGCCUGAGAGGGUGAACGGACACACUGGAACUGAGACACGGUCCAGACUCCUACGGGAGGCAGCAGUAGGGAAUAUUGCUCAAUGGGGGAAACCCUGAAGCAGCAACGCCGCGUGGAGGAUGAAGGUUUUAGGAUUGUAAACUCCUUUUGUUAGAGAAGAUAAUGACGGUAUCUAACGAAUAAGCACCGGCUAACUCCGUGCCAGCAGCCGCGGUAAUACGGAGGGUGCAAGCGUUACUCGGAAUCACUGGGCGUAAAGAGCGCGUAGGCGGGAUAGUCAGUCAGGUGUGAAAUCCUAUGGCUUAACCAUAGAACUGCAUUUGAAACUACUAUUCUAGAGUGUGGGAGAGGUAGGUGGAAUUCUUGGUGUAGGGGUAAAAUCCGUAGAGAUCAAGAGGAAUACUCAUUGCGAAGGCGACCUGCUGGAACAUUACUGACGCUGAUUGCGCGAAAGCGUGGGGAGCAAACAGGAUUAGAUACCCUGGUAGUCCACGCCCUAAACGAUGGAUGCUAGUUGUUGGAGGGCUUAGUCUCUCCAGUAAUGCAGCUAACGCAUUAAGCAUCCCGCCUGGGGAGUACGGUCGCAAGAUUAAAACUCAAAGGAAUAGACGGGGACCCGCACAAGCGGUGGAGCAUGUGGUUUAAUUCGAAGAUACACGAAGAACCUUACCUAGGCUUGACAUUGAGAGAAUCCGCUAGAAAUAGUGGAGUGUCUAGCUUGCUAGACCUUGAAAACAGGUGCUGCACGGCUGUCGUCAGCUCGUGUCGUGAGAUGUUGGGUUAAGUCCCGCAACGAGCGCAACCCCCUUUCUUAGUUGCUAACAGGUCAUGCUGAGAACUCUAAGGAUACUGCCUCCGUAAGGAGGAGGAAGGUGGGGACGACGUCAAGUCAUCAUGGCCCUUACGCCUAGGGCUACACACGUGCUACAAUGGGGUGCACAAAGAGAAGCAAUACUGCGAAGUGGAGCCAAUCUUCAAAACACCUCUCAGUUCGGAUUGUAGGCUGCAACUCGCCUGCAUGAAGCUGGAAUCGCUAGUAAUCGCAAAUCAGCCAUGUUGCGGUGAAUACGUUCCCGGGUCUUGUACUCACCGCCCGUCACACCAUGGGAGUUGUGUUUGCCUUAAGUCAGGAUGCUAAAUUAGCUACUGCCCACGGCACACACAGCGACUGGGGUGAAGUCGUAACAAGGUAACCGUAGGUGAACCUGCGGUUG